This 312-nucleotide long non-coding RNA is filed under the name Cyanistes caeruleus (blue tit). Its description in RNAcentral is "lncRNA (ENSCCEG00000012975.1)". The record is from RNAcentral. Lineage: Eukaryota; Metazoa; Chordata; Aves; Passeriformes; Paridae.
CUUAGAUCCUGAGUGUCAAGAAAACAUUUGUCUGGUGAAAACAAGUGUGGCCGCUACUGUUUCCAUUUAUAGUGGGGACUCAAUGGAAUCAAAAGGCAGCCAUGGGUGUUUGUUCUCCAGCUACAAGCCCGUGAAGAAUCUAUUCCCCAUUAUCCAAGAUGCUACCGAGGGAAGACACUACAGAGAUUAUUAGAUUUCAAGAGUAGUCCAACAUUGUUCAGAGCUAAUAAAACAACAGGACAACUGCAACAGCAACAAUAUUUGGGCUUCAUGGGAAAAUGGUUUUUUAGUCUGUGCCCUAAGCAACACCAU